Molecule: ribosomal RNA, 697 nt
Filed under: uncultured Methanosaeta sp.
Lineage: Archaea; Methanobacteriati; Methanobacteriota; Methanomicrobia; Methanotrichales; Methanotrichaceae
Description: bacterial SSU rRNA
Rfam family: Archaeal small subunit ribosomal RNA
Source: RNAcentral
UCCGGUUGAUCCUGCCGGAGGUUACUGCUAUCGAGGUUCGACUAAGCCAUGCGAGUCGAAUGUAGCAAUACAUGGCGUACUGCUCAGUAACACGUGGACAACCUACCCUUAGGUCGGGGAUAAACCCGGGAAACUGGGUAUAAUACCCGAUAGUCCUCGGAUGCUGGAAUGCACCGAGGUCUAAAGCUCCGGCGCCUAAGGAUGGGUCUGCGGCCUAUCAGGUAGUAGUGGGUGUAGCGUACCUACUAGCCUACGACGGGUACGGGUUGUGAGAGCAAGAGCCCGGAGAUGGAUUCUGAGACACGAAUCCAGGCCCUACGGGGUGCAGCAGGCGCGAAAACUUUACAAUGCUGGAAACAGCGAUAAGGGGACCUCGAGUGCCAGGUUACAAAUCUGGCUGUCGUGAUGCCUAAAAAGCAUUGCAUAGCAAGGGCCGGGCAAGACCGGUGCCAGCCGCCGCGGUAACACCGGCGGCUCGAGUGGUAACCGCUAUUAUUGGGUCUAAAGGGUCUGUAGCCGGCCGGAUAAGUCUUUUGGGAAAUCUGGCAGCUUAACUGUCAGGCUUUCAGAGGAUACUGUCUGGCUCGAGGCCGGGAGAGGUGAGAGGUACUUCAGGGGUAGGGGUGAAAUCUUGUAAUCCUUGAAGGACCACCAGUGGCGAAGGCGUCUCACCAGAACGGACCUGACGGCAAGGGAC